ACACCUACGGGGGGCAGCAGUGGGGAAUAUUGGACAAUGGGCGCAAGCCUGAUCCAGCCAUGCCGCGUGAGUGAUGAAGGCCCUAGGGUUGUAAAGCUCUUUCUCCGGUGAAGAUAAUGACUGUAACCGGAUAAGAAUCCCCGGCUAACUUCGUGCCAGCAGCCGCGGUAA
This 171-nucleotide ribosomal RNA is filed under the name uncultured Hyphomicrobiales bacterium. RNAcentral's name for it is "uncultured Rhizobiales bacterium partial 16S ribosomal RNA". It matches the Rfam family "Bacterial small subunit ribosomal RNA", at positions 335 to 523 of the family's 1533-position model. Lineage: Bacteria; Pseudomonadati; Pseudomonadota; Alphaproteobacteria; Hyphomicrobiales. The record is from RNAcentral.